RNAcentral lists this ribosomal RNA (500 nucleotides) under uncultured bacterium. Its description in RNAcentral is "partial 16S ribosomal RNA". It matches the Rfam family "Bacterial small subunit ribosomal RNA", at positions 30 to 523 of the family's 1533-position model. The record is from RNAcentral.
AUUGAACGCUGGCGGCAUGCCUUACACAUGCAAGUCGAACGGCAGCACGGGAGCAAUCCUGGUGGCGAGUGGCGAACGGGUGAGUAAAGUAUCGGAACGUGCCCAGUCGUGGGGGAUAACGUAGCGAAAGUUACGCUAAUACCGCAUACGAUCUAUGGAUGAAAGCGGGGGAUCGCAAGACCUCGCGCGAUUGGAGCGGCCGAUAUCAGAUUAGGUAGUUGGUGGGGUAAAGGCUCACCAAGCCGACGAUCUGUAGCUGGUCUGAGAGGACGACCAGCCACACUGGGACUGAGACACGGCCCAGACCCCUACGGGAGGCAGCAGUGGGGAAUUUUGGACAAUGGGCGCAAGCCUGAUCCAGCCAUUCCGCGUGCAGGAUGAAGGCCCUCGGGUUGUAAACUGCUUUUGUACAGAACGAAAAGGUCUGGGUUAAUACCCUGGGCUCAUGACGGUACUGUAAGAAUAAGCACCGGCUAACUACGUGCCAGCAGCCGCAGUAA